GAUUAUGGCUCAGGAUGAACGCUAGCUACAGGCUUAACACAUGCAAGUCGAGGGGCAGCAGGGCAAUAGCUUGCUAUGUUGCUGGCGACCGGCGCACGGGUGAGUAACGCGUAUCCAACCUACCCCGCGGUCAGGGACAGCCCGGCGAAAGUCGGAUUAAUACCUGAUGCAGUCAGAAGAGGGCAUCUGAUUUUGACGAAAGAUUCAUCGCCUCGGGAUGGGGAUGCGUAGGAUUAGGCAGGCGGCGGGGUAACGGCCCACCGCGCCGACGAUCCUUAGGGGUUCUGAGAGGAAGGUCCCCCACACUGGUACUGAGACACGGACCAGACUCCUACGGGAGGCAGCAGUGAGGAAUAUUGGUCAAUGGGCGCGAGCCUGAACCAGCCAAGUAGCGUGCAGGACGACGGCCCUAUGGGUUGUAAACUGCUUUUAUGCGGGGAUAAAGUGCGGCACGUGUGCCGUUUUGUAGGUACCGCAUGAAUAAGGACCGGCUAAUUCCGUGCCAGCCGCCGC
RNAcentral lists this ribosomal RNA (513 nucleotides) under uncultured bacterium. RNAcentral's name for it is "bacterial SSU rRNA". It matches the Rfam family "Bacterial small subunit ribosomal RNA", at positions 15 to 518 of the family's 1533-position model. The record is from RNAcentral.